UGAGUAGGUCGGAUGGUCGCGGAUGUUUACAUCCGAGGAAAGUCCGAGCUCCACAGGGCAGGGUGCUGGGUAAUACCCAGUGAGGGCGACCUCAAGGAAAGUGCAACAGAAAUAUACCGCCUAACGUUUAACCGUUAGGUAAGGGUGGAAAGGUGAGGUAAGAGCUCACCAGCACACUGGUGACAGUGUGGCUCUGUAAACCCCACCCGGAGCAAGACCAAAUAGGGGAGCUAUGUGGUGGCCCGCCACGCUCCCGGGUAAGGUCGCUGGAGGUGUCAGGCAACUGACGCCCUAGAUAGAUGACCAUCCAAGACAGAACUCGGCUUAUAGACCUGCUCAUAGU
RNAcentral lists this RNase P RNA (343 nucleotides) under Thermovenabulum gondwanense. Its description in RNAcentral is "Thermovenabulum sp. R270 Bacterial RNase P class A". It matches the Rfam family "Bacterial RNase P class A". From Rfam's summary of the family: Ribonuclease P (RNase P) is a ubiquitous endoribonuclease, found in archaea, bacteria and eukarya as well as chloroplasts and mitochondria. Its best characterised activity is the generation of mature 5'-ends of tRNAs by cleaving the 5'-leader elements of precursor-tRNAs. The record is from Rfam by way of RNAcentral. Lineage: Bacteria; Bacillati; Bacillota; Clostridia; Thermosediminibacterales; Thermosediminibacteraceae.